This 499-nucleotide ribosomal RNA is filed under the name uncultured bacterium. RNAcentral's name for it is "partial 16S ribosomal RNA". It matches the Rfam family "Bacterial small subunit ribosomal RNA", at positions 30 to 523 of the family's 1533-position model. The record is from RNAcentral.
AUUGAACGCUGGCGGCAUGCCUUACACAUGCAAGUCGAACGGCAGCACGGGAGCAAUCCUGGUGGCGAGUGGCGAACGGGUGAGUAAUGUAUCGGAACGUGCCCAUUCGUGGGGGAUAACGUAGCGAAAGCUACGCUAAUACCGCAUACGAUCUAUGGAUGAAAGCGGGGGAUCGCAAGACCUCGCGCGAUUGGAGCGGCCGAUAUCAGAUUAGGUAGUUGGUGGGGUAAAGGCUCACCAAGCCGACGAUCUGUAGCUGGACUGAGAGGACGACCAGCCACACUGGGACUGGGACACGGACAAGACUCCUACGGGAGGCAGAAGUGGGGAAUUUUGGACAAUGGGUGCAAGCCUGAUCCAGCAAUGCCGCGUGCAGGAUGAAGGCCUUCGGGUUGUAAACUGCUUUGUACGGAACGAAACGGCGAGCUCUAAUACAGUUUGCUAAUGACGGUACCGUAAGAAUAAGCACCGGCUAACUACGUGCCAGCAGCCGCCGUAA